CCCAGCUGUAGGCAGCUGCCUAGGUUGCAUUGUACCUGGGCAAGUGUUACACUGCUGGGAGAAAAGCAGAUAAUAACUGGCAGGUAUGCUGGGCCUGGUUAAUGUUGAAUUUUUGUUAACUAU
Ochotona princeps (American pika) is the source of this 123-nucleotide small nucleolar RNA. Its record names the gene SNORA74. It matches the Rfam family "Small nucleolar RNA SNORA74". From Rfam's summary of the family: U19 belongs to the H/ACA class of snoRNAs. snoRNAs bind a number of proteins (including dyskerin, Gar1p and Nop10p in the case of the H/ACA class) to form snoRNP complexes. The record is from Ensembl. NCBI's taxonomy places the organism in Eukaryota, Metazoa, Chordata, Mammalia, Lagomorpha, Ochotonidae.